Molecule: ribosomal RNA, 268 nt
Filed under: Escherichia coli
Lineage: Bacteria; Pseudomonadati; Pseudomonadota; Gammaproteobacteria; Enterobacterales; Enterobacteriaceae
Description: partial 23S ribosomal RNA
Rfam family: Bacterial large subunit ribosomal RNA
Source: RNAcentral
UGAGGGGGGCUGCUCCUAGUACGAGAGGACCGGAGUGGACGCAUCACUGGUAUUCGGGUUGUCAUGCCAAUGGCACUGCCCGGUAGCUAAAUGCGGAAGAGAUAAGUGCUGAAAGCAUCUAAGCACGAAACUUGCCCCGAGAUGAGUUCUCCCUGACUCCUUGAGAGUCCUGAAGGAACGUUGAAGACGACGACGUUGAUAGGCCGGGUGUGUAAGCGCAGCGAUGCGUUGAGCUAACCGGUACUAAUGAACCGUGAGGCUUAACCUU